This is a non-coding RNA of Pelobates cultripes (western spadefoot toad), 489 nucleotides long. NCBI's taxonomy places the organism in Eukaryota, Metazoa, Chordata, Amphibia, Anura, Pelobatidae. The record is from the annotation of a GenBank genome assembly.
UCUAUAGAGAUGGGUUUUGAGGGACUUUGGAAAUGAUUGAAGACUAGGGGAGAAUCUGAUAGGGAUAGGCAGGCUGUUCCAAAGAAAAACAGCUGCCUGUGAGUAGUCUUGCAAGCGCGAGUUAGCAGUAAGGGUGCGAGCUGUGGACAGGAGAAAGUCACUGGCAGAAUGGAGAGACCAAUAAGGGUAUACCUACAAAUCAGUGAAGAAAUGUAAUUGCGGUAGAGUUGUUUAUAGCUUUAUAGGUAUGGAUUAGUAUUUUGCAUUGACUACUAUAGGGUACAGAAGGCUAAUGUAAGGAUUGAGGUGCGAGGUGUGAGAGGAGCGACAGAAAAUACAAAUGAGUCUCUCUGCAACAUUAAUUACAGAGUGUAGCGAGGCAGUAUGGCUUCUGGGGAGAGAAUCACAGUAAUCAAUACAAAAAGUUACUAGAGUAUAAUCAAGUUCCUUAGCAGCAUAAGCUAAGCAGCAUCGUGCAUAAGAAAGGAU